This 368-nucleotide long non-coding RNA is filed under the name Hordeum vulgare. Its description in RNAcentral is "long non-coding RNA (HVUL_LNC015602)". The record is from RNAcentral. Lineage: Eukaryota; Viridiplantae; Streptophyta; Magnoliopsida; Poales; Poaceae.
UUCAAGGAAAUACACGUUCACCUAACAACAUGGGCAUGACCUAAGGGUCACUAACAGCGGGUCCCACGGGACAACUGGUAAGGUUUGACGAGUCCACCCUAGUGUCUCCCUCCUUUGGUCAAAUGUAGUGCAGCCUCCAGUGAUCCUUGGCCGCAAACGGAAGCACCCCUCAAUGAUCUCAACCCAUCACAAGGCUGAGGAGGCCAAGCCAGUCCCGAUGACAUGCGGCACGGCCUCCGGGGUUCAUCCGAUUAUCGACGACGUGCAAUCCCGAGACCCUCCAGCGGAGGCAAAAUUGGGACGUUGCCCUACGAUCUUGCUGUGGUGAAAUUAGUGUUGGAAUGGGUUCGUGGAUUUACGUGGGAGAU